This 256-nucleotide ribosomal RNA is filed under the name Staphylococcus aureus. RNAcentral's name for it is "partial 23S ribosomal RNA". It matches the Rfam family "Bacterial large subunit ribosomal RNA", at positions 310 to 563 of the family's 2925-position model. Lineage: Bacteria; Bacillati; Bacillota; Bacilli; Caryophanales; Staphylococcaceae. The record is from RNAcentral.
UACGGAGUUACAAAGGACGACAUUAGACGAAUCAUCUGGAAAGAUGAAUCAAAGAAGGUAAUAAUCCUGUAGUCGAAAAUGUUGUCUCUCUUGAGUGGAUCCUGAGUACGACGGAGCACGUGAAAUUCCGUCGGAAUCUGGGAGGACCAUCUCCUAAGGCUAAAUACUCUCUAGUGACCGAUAGUGAACCAGUACCGUGAGGGAAAGGGGAAAAGCACCCCGGAAGGGGAGUGAAAUAGAACCUGAAACCGUGUGC